AGGAGACCCGGGUGGAGUGAAGAACCAAGUUCUACGUGGACAGAAGGGAUAUCAAAAUGGACAAGAUCUGGAAAUGUGCAGAGAAAAGACUGCUAUGCUAAUGGUGAAGAAAUGUGGAAUCAAUGAGGAUCUACAGAGCUCCAAACAAACACUGGAUAGUGGAAACAGCAAAGUACAGGUUUUAUGAAUGGGAUUAGCCAUCUGCCUCUACCUUGUGGCUUCUCUAUCCUACCCCAAAUAAAAAAAUUAAAAUAUCUGUAGUGAUGCAAAACGA
Molecule: non-coding RNA, 274 nt
Organism: Phascolarctos cinereus (koala)
Lineage: Eukaryota; Metazoa; Chordata; Mammalia; Diprotodontia; Phascolarctidae
Source: RefSeq, a predicted model, not a curated record